This 29-nucleotide non-coding RNA is filed under the name Rattus norvegicus (Norway rat). The record is from RNAcentral. Lineage: Eukaryota; Metazoa; Chordata; Mammalia; Rodentia; Muridae.
UGGGUGAUGAGGGUGACUCUUGAUGCUUU